AUGGGUGCAGCUCAAAGUGAAGGCAUUCCAGAAGGAGGUCUUGAACUUGAUCCUGCAACGCUCCCCCUUAACUUGGAAGAUGCUUUAGCUUCUGUUGUUCCUGAAAGCAGUUCAGUGAAAGGUCAGGAGUUUGGCACCAUAUACACUCGAUCUGCUGUAGAAGGUACUGAUGUUGAUGAGGAAUCUGGUGGUAUUAUCCAUGCAAAAUUUGGAUGUCCUGAUUCAGAAUUCUAUGACUUUACAGAAAUAAGAUUGCUUUGCAAGUUCAAACCUGGGCAGAUCUGGGCUCUCUACAAUGAUAUAUAUUACUUCCCCAAUUACUAUGCCGUUAUAAAGAAAGUCGAUGUCAAGAAUAAUAAGGUAACAUUGAGAUGGCUCCAUGUCUGUCCUCAGGGAAUGGAGGAGAAAAGAUUGGUCAAAGAAGAUCAUCCUGUUUGGUGUGGAACCUUUAGGGUUUCCACUGGCAAUGAUGGUAUUAGUACUUGCACCCGUACAACAUACUUUUCUCAUCCUGUACCUGGUAGACCAACCGGUAUAAGAAAUGAAUAUGAAAUAUUCCCUCGCCUUCGUGAUGUCUGGGCUGUUUACAAGGACUGGAGGGCUGGGUGGACUGCACAAGAUUUUAAAAAUUGUGACUAUAUAUGA
Molecule: ribosomal RNA, 645 nt
Filed under: Triticum aestivum (bread wheat)
Lineage: Eukaryota; Viridiplantae; Streptophyta; Magnoliopsida; Poales; Poaceae
Description: partial small subunit ribosomal RNA
Source: RNAcentral